UGGGGAUGGAGGAUUUGGUAUGUCGAUUUUGAAUUUGGGGCUUAGGGUUCGUCUUUGUUCUUGAGUCGGUUGUAGAGAUGUGUGUACAUGUUCUAUGAGGAAUAGAGGUGCCUAUAAGGAUAAGGAAUUGGAGCUGGUUGUGGCUUUGUGCCUGAUUUAGCUUGAGAAUCUUGACCAACCUGUUGGGCUAUGAUGUUGCUCAUGUUUCAGCCAAAGGUCAUGACCUAAUCCUACUUUGAAAAAGAUUGAAAUUAUUUUCUUUAUUUGAUUUUCAAUUCUAUUAGGAAAGGGAAUGGAAUUGUAAUUCUAUUUGGAGU
This 317-nucleotide long non-coding RNA is filed under the name Solanum tuberosum (potato). Its description in RNAcentral is "long non-coding RNA (STUB_LNC005967)". The record is from RNAcentral. Lineage: Eukaryota; Viridiplantae; Streptophyta; Magnoliopsida; Solanales; Solanaceae.